This 253-nucleotide ribosomal RNA is filed under the name uncultured bacterium. RNAcentral's name for it is "partial 16S ribosomal RNA". It matches the Rfam family "Bacterial small subunit ribosomal RNA", at positions 524 to 776 of the family's 1533-position model. The record is from RNAcentral.
UACGUAGGGGGCAAGCGUUGUCCGGAUUUACUGGGCGUAAAGAGCGUGUAGGCGGCCAGGCAGGUCUGGUGUGAAAACUGGAGGCUCAACUUCCAGACGUCGACAGAAACCGCUUGGCUAGAGUCCGGAAGAGGAGAGUGGAAUUCCUGGUGUAGCGGUGAAAUGCGCAGAUAUCAGGAAGAACACCGAUGGCGAAGGCAGCUCUCUGGGACGGUACUGACGCUGAGACGCGAAAGCGUGGGGAGCGAACAGG